AGUUUGAUCCUGGCUCAGGAUGAACGCUAGCUACAGGCUUAACACAUGCAAGUCGAGGGGCAGCGGGAUUGAAGCUUGCUUCAAUUGCCGGCGACCGGCGCACGGGUGAGUAACGCGUAUCCAACCUUCCGUACACUCAGGGAUAGCCUUUCGAAAGAAAGAUUAAUACCUGAUGGUAUGAUGAGAUUGCAUGAUAGCAUCAUUAAAGAUUUAUCGGUGUACGAUGGGGAUGCGUUCCAUUAGGUAGUAGGCGGGGUAACGGCCCACCUAGCCAACGAUGGAUAGGGGUUCUGAGAGGAAGGUCCCCCACAUUGGAACUGAGACACGGUCCAAACUCCUACGGGAGGCAGCAGUGAGGAAUAUUGGUCAAUGGACGAGAGUCUGAACCAGCCAAGUAGCGUGAAGGAUGAAGGUCCUACGGAUUGUAAACUUCUUUUAUAAGGGAAUAAACCCUCCCACGUGUGGGAGCUUGUAUGUACCUUAUGAAUAAGCAUCGGCUAACUCCGAGCCAGCAGCCGCGGUAAUACGGAGGAUGCGAGCGUUAUCCGGAUUUAUUGGGUUUAAAGGGAGCGCAGACGGGUCGUUAAGUCAGCUGUGAAAGUUUGGGGCUCAACCUUAAAAUUGCAGUUGAUACUGGCGUCCUUGAGUGCGGUUGAGGUGUGCGGAAUUCGUGGUGUAGCGGUGAAAUGCUUAGAUAUCACGAAGAACUCCGAUUGCGAAGGCAGCACACUAAUCCGUAACUGACGUUCAUGCUCGAAAGUGUGGGUAUCAAACAGGAUUAGAUACCCUGGUAGUCCACACGGUAAACGAUGGAUACUCGCUGUUGGCGAUAUACUGUCAGCGGCUUAGCGAAAGCGUUAAGUAUCCCACCUGGGGAGUACGCCGGCAACGGUGAAACUCAAAGGAAUUGAC
This 912-nucleotide ribosomal RNA is filed under the name uncultured bacterium. Its description in RNAcentral is "bacterial SSU rRNA". It matches the Rfam family "Bacterial small subunit ribosomal RNA", at positions 10 to 914 of the family's 1533-position model. The record is from RNAcentral.